Triplophysa dalaica is the source of this 1133-nucleotide long non-coding RNA. RefSeq lists it as uncharacterized. The transcript is spliced from 3 exons. The record is from RefSeq and is a predicted model, not a curated record. NCBI's taxonomy places the organism in Eukaryota, Metazoa, Chordata, Actinopteri, Cypriniformes, Nemacheilidae.
AGAAGUUGAAUUGCAAUUUGAUCUAUGUGUUAUGGUUUGAAUAUCAUUAGUCAUGUAUGUGUGUGUUUCUUUUUGUUCUCCUGAGUCUGACUGGACAGCCCCUCGUGGUGGAUCCCGACUCGGAGAAGACCGAGAACAUGCUUGAGGAUGUGGAUGAAGGAAGGUACGAAGAAGACGAGGGCUUCGAUGAAGACCAAACCUUGGAUGUUACUCUAUCGAGUCUCUCAGAUGAACCAAGCUUCUCUGUUUCCUCCUGCUUUCUGUCCUCCUCUGAGUCUCUCUCCUCCCUAGCUGCUGCCUCCACCACAUUGGCUGUUGACUCCAUGCCACAGUCAUGCACCUCGGCGUCUACUUAUGAGUCUGCGGCUGUGGAUAACUCUGGUGAAAAAAUGCUCUCAGAGCAGAGUAUCUUGUGAAGCGUAGGAACCAGCUCUCUCUGGUCCUCACACAGCAGCAGAACCGUCGGCCAGGCACAAUUGAAGAGGAAGAUAAGAGGAUUGUAUACUGCCCCUCUGUAGAGGCUGUACCAAAGGAGCAGUGGUUGGAGGAAAUAAAAAACUGCCUGUUUCUGUUACCGACGUUCUUCAAAACAUCUUUUGUCUUCUGAAGAAGAAAGAAAGUCAUACAGGUUUGAAUACAUCAACAUCAUUUUGGGGUGAACUAUUCCUUUAAUAACAACUUAAAGAAAGAGGAUUAUUCAUCUAUAACAGUUUUAUUCAUGUAUGUUUUUGUCACAGGGUGACAAAUAACCCCCGGAACUAUUCGCCAGAGAAGUGUUUCCGCGGGGAUACUCCCAGUGUAACACUGUCCCCGGGCCUGUGUGUGUGUCUGUCGCCAUGGCAACUAACCGGCAGAUUGGCAACAGGUGUGGGGACUUCACUCUGAGUGCCUGAUUGAGGCCACGCCAGCAUUCUUGAGAGGAUAAAACACAAGGGGAAGUGAAGGCUGGGUUGUGUUGCGUCGGGUUGUGCCGUGUUCUGUUCUGUUCUGUUCUGUUCUGUUCUGUUCUGUUCUGUUCUGUUCUGUGCUGUGCUGUGCUGUGCUGUGCUGUGCUGUGCUGUGCUGUGCUGUGCUGUGCUGUGCUGUGCUGUGCUGUGCUGUGCUGUGCUGUGCUGUGCUGUGCUGUGCUGUGC